This 376-nucleotide unclassified non-coding RNA is filed under the name uncultured Actinomycetes bacterium. RNAcentral's name for it is "uncultured actinobacterium contains 16S-23S intergenic spacer region". Lineage: Bacteria; Bacillati; Actinomycetota; Actinomycetes. The record is from RNAcentral.
UCCGAGUUGACCCCGGCAGUCUCUUAUGAGUCCCCACCAUUACGUGCUGGCAACAUAAGACGAGGGUUGCGCUCGUUGCGCCACUUAAGGCAACACCUCACGGCACGAGCUGACGACAGCCAUGCACCACCUGUGCAGGCUCCGUAGAGCUCCGGCUUUCACCGGCUUCACCCUGCAUGUCAAGCCCAGGUAAGGUUCUUCGCGUCGCAUCGAAUUAAGCCGCAUGCUCCGCCGCUUGUGCAGGCCCCCGUCAAUUCCUUUGAGUUUUAGCCUUGCGGCCGUACUCCCCAGGCGGGGCGCUUAAUGCGUUAGCUACGGCACGGAUCCCGUGGAAGGAAACCCACACCUAGCGCCCACCGUUUACAGCAUGGACCAC